GAUAGACGCUGGCGGCGUGCCUAAUACAUGCAAGUCGAGCGGUAAGGCUCCUUCGGGAGUACACGAGCGGCGGACGGCUGAGUAACGCGUAGGAACGUACCCCAAACUGAGGGAUAACUGCUCGAAAGAGUAGCUAAUACCGCAUGUGCUCUACGGAGUAAAGCUACGGCGGUUUGGGAACGGCCUGCGUACGAUUAGAUUGUUGGUGAGGUAAUGGCUCACCAAGUCGACGAUCGUUAGCUGGUCUGAGAGGAUGAUCAGCCAGACUGGGACUGAGAACGGCCCAGACUCCGUACGGGAGGCAGCAGGUAGGGUAAUUUUCCACAAUGGACGAAAGUCUGAUGGAGCAACGCCGCGUGCAGGAUGAAUGCCUUCGGGUUGUAAACUGCUUUUAUCUGUGACGAAUAUGACGGUAGCAGAUGAAUAAGGAUCGGCUAACUCCGUG
This 445-nucleotide ribosomal RNA is filed under the name uncultured bacterium. RNAcentral describes it as "bacterial SSU rRNA". It matches the Rfam family "Bacterial small subunit ribosomal RNA", at positions 28 to 507 of the family's 1533-position model. The record is from RNAcentral.